CAAUUGUAGUUCAAAAAUGAAGAUCCAACUUUCUCAUCACUUAGUGCUGUCAUUUCCUUGCCACGUGUGUGCAUGUGUGUGUGCAUGCAUACACACACACAGAGUGCCGUUUGGUAGAUGGUGAAUAAACAGGGUAUCACUUAAGUUCAAUUUGCAAUAUUCUAAUUGUGGAGAAAGAUGUUUUUCAGUUGAAGAUCAGACUGCAGUUGAACACUCCAAUAAUUCAUGAGGUGGAUAUUAUUACCACCAUUUUACAGAUAGG
This 262-nucleotide long non-coding RNA is filed under the name Pan troglodytes (chimpanzee). RNAcentral describes it as "long non-coding RNA NONPTRT002193". Lineage: Eukaryota; Metazoa; Chordata; Mammalia; Primates; Hominidae. The record is from RNAcentral.